GAAGCAGUAGCUCAGGCGGUAGAGCAACGAAAAGUUUUAAGAUUACCUUAAAAAUUAUUCAAAUGUUAUUUAGGGAGACUUUUUCAGUUACUUGAAGGAGUGUGGUUCAAGUCCACAAGCGUUUAAGAAUUAUCAAAGGUCAAUUAAAACUUACAUCCAGACUCCAAAUCCGUGUGUCGUGAGUUCGAAUCUCACCUGCUUCG
Molecule: transfer RNA, 203 nt
Filed under: Solitalea canadensis DSM 3403
Lineage: Bacteria; Pseudomonadati; Bacteroidota; Sphingobacteriia; Sphingobacteriales; Sphingobacteriaceae
Description: tRNA-Und (NNN) (tRNA-Und-NNN-2-1)
Source: RNAcentral